Molecule: long non-coding RNA, 1738 nt
Organism: Oncorhynchus gorbuscha (pink salmon)
Lineage: Eukaryota; Metazoa; Chordata; Actinopteri; Salmoniformes; Salmonidae
Exons: 2
Source: RefSeq, a predicted model, not a curated record
UUACACCGCCCCUAAACGUUUACGCUACACGGUGAGACAGGCUAUAGCUUGUGACGGGUUCACAUCUCAAAUAACUCCCCAGAAGGCUACGACUGGUAAUGUUCUUUAUGUCGAUUUGGAAAAUAGGCUUGCUUAUUCUACAUUAAAGUAGCAACUUAUUUUGCUUUCUGUCGACCAUGUCUUCUCUCGGUCAGUAAUGGAGGAUUUUCCCGGAGUGGUGGUGGGGAGGUUCCACAGAAGGAGGAAGCGAACGUUUAGAGGCAGCUGUAAGCAACCAGCUGACUAUGGACGGGAGAUCUGCUUUCGGUCUUCAACGAAGGGGAAUGGUGGCCAGGGAACAUUACUACCAAAUGAACCACUCGACAAAGCCACACUACCAACAUUGAGCUGGAAUUGAAACCUGCCUCCGCCUUAAAUCUCUAUCGGCCGACUCUUGUGAGGGGCCAAAGAGGGAUACAUAUUACGCUUUAUAAUAAAUUCAAUUGUUGGGCAUAGUCCUCAGAGACCCGUUUCCAUGCUUUAAUCGUUUUAGUAUCGAAGCGGACAACCAUAAUCAAACCGAAAAAGCAGGACAUUCUUGCGCGAGGCGUAACCGAUUUCGGAUAUGUGAUGUCGACUCUGCAGUCAGCACCCCGCCUGUUGUUUACCCGUUCUUGGUGAUAUAGUACGCACGAAAGGGGAUACAAUUAUCGCUGGUCUAAUGAUGCGUUUAAAACAGUGGUUGGACAUAGUUAGCUAGUGUCCCAAUAAAUCAGUGCAGUUUACGGGAAAUUUAAAAGUAAUAUCCUGGUAUGUGAAGAUGGUUUGGGGGGUCCACAAACUCCAACCGAGCCAACGACCGCGCUAGCUAGCUGCAACCGCACUACGCUGGUUCAAUGCAAUGGUUAGCUAGCUCGCUAGCUAUAUUAUGUUAGCAACCAUCAGAUUUACAUUAAUUUACAGCAAUAUAUUAGCCAACACGGUGGCCACCUGUGAAAAGAAUCAAAUGACAAACUAUACAUUUGAAGGUUUAAAAAUGUGUAGUAGUUAGCUACUGUAAAUUUAAAAUAUGAAAACCACCAGCAGACCAGUCAACUUUUAUGCUAGCUUGCUAAAGCUUGGCUAACUUCAGGGGAUUCAACAUGGAAAAUGAUUUACGUUUUUAUUUUGUAUAUACAUUUACAUCAAUAUUGCAGGUACCAUUAACUAGAUACAUGCAUUUGUAAUUGGUCGUCCAAAAGAUUACGUAUCGGCCUAACGUUACUAGUUUUGCAUAAACCCAUAGGAAAAAAUCCAGUUCCAAACGACUGCGACCCGAACACUGACCUCGUCUCCAUGAAAGAGAAUCAUGUUUAGAAAAUCAUUCAUCUCAGGCAGACAAAUUCACUGUUGUGUUUCUUGAAAAACAACGAUUUAAAUGAACAAACUCACCGUGAAACGGUUCUAUCCACCCUGAAUUUUCUUUCAGCUGUUGUUGAACACGGGGUAAACCAGGUUUUGUAGCCGUGUGGCGAGGAUGGGUCAUGAAGACUGAGGCACACGAAUGAAGAAAAAGGGGAAUAAAUGUUUGGGGGCGUAAUCCAGCCAUCCAAUCCAGACAGCCAGAUCCAAUGAAAACAAAUGACUUUCCAAUGAGCGCACAGCAUCGUUAAACCGCGUUGGAGUGGUGCUCCUGUGGACCAGCACUGUCAGCCCUCCUACCAUUGAUGAAUGAAGUGAUGGAAUGUCUCAAAAAAGAAAUUAAAGGGUUUAAAAUGUC